GACGAACGCUGGCGGCGUGCCUAACACAUGCAAGUCGAGCGACGAACCAGGGCUUGCCCUGGGGCGAAGCCGCGAACGGGUGGGUAACACGCGGGUAACCUACCUCGCUAACCGAGAGAGCUCGCGGAAACUCAGGCUAACUCCGGACGUACAAUCUGUCGUUCGGUUCAGUGCGUAAGUGAAACUUGGUCCUCCGUACCGUGAGAGGCCGGCGGGCCAUUCGUUUGUUGGUGGGGUAACGGAUGACCAAGCCCGCGAUGGAUAGCUGGUCUGCGAGGGCGAUCAGCCACACGGGGACUGAGACACGGCCCAGACUCCUACGGGAGGCAGCAGUGGGGAAUCUUACGCAAUGCGCGAAAGCGUGACGCAGCAACGCCGCGUGAGGGAUGAAGGCCUUCGGGUUGUAAAACGCUGUCAGGAGGGAGGAAGGUAAGGCGGUGUAUAGGGGAACAUACUGACGGUACCUGCACAAGAAGCCCCGGCUAACUACGUG
RNAcentral lists this ribosomal RNA (493 nucleotides) under uncultured bacterium. RNAcentral describes it as "partial 16S ribosomal RNA". It matches the Rfam family "Bacterial small subunit ribosomal RNA", at positions 28 to 507 of the family's 1533-position model. The record is from RNAcentral.